GUGGGGAAUAUUGGACAAUGGGCGAAAGCCUGAUCCAGCCAUGCCGCGUGUGUGAAGAAGGUCUUCGGAUUGUAAAGCACUUUAAGUUGGGAGGAAGGGCAGUAAGUUAAUACCUUGCUGUUUUGACGUUACCGACAGAAUAAGCACCGGCUAACUUCGUGCCAGCAGCCGCGGUAAUACGAAGGGUGCAAGCGUUAAUCGGAAUUACUGGUCGUAAAGCGAGCGUAGGUGGUUUUGUAAGUUGGAGGUGAAAUCGCCGGGCUCAACCUGGGAACUGACUCCAAAACUGCAUGACUAGAGUACGGUAGAGGGUAGUGGAAUGUCCUGUGUAGCGGUGAAAUGCGUAGAUAUAGGAAGGAACACCAGUGGCGAAGGCGACUACCUGGACUGAUACUGACACUGAGGUGCGAAAGCGUGGGGAGCAAACAGGAUUAGAUACCCGGGUAGUCC
This 450-nucleotide ribosomal RNA is filed under the name uncultured bacterium. Its description in RNAcentral is "partial 16S ribosomal RNA". It matches the Rfam family "Bacterial small subunit ribosomal RNA", at positions 354 to 796 of the family's 1533-position model. The record is from RNAcentral.